CAGCGCCGCGGGAAUACGGAGGGUGCAAGCGUUAAUCGGAAUUACUGGGCGUAAAGCGCACGCAGGCGGUUUGUUAAGUCAGAUGUGAAAUCCCCGGGCUCAACCUGGGAACUGCAUUUGAAACUGGCAAGCUAGAGUCUCGUAGAGGGGGGUAGAAUUCCAGGUGUAGCGGUGAAAUGCGUAGAGGUCUGGAGGAAUACCGGUGGCGAAGGCGGCCCCCUGGACGAAGACUGACGCUCAGGUGCGAAAGCGUGGGGAGCAAACAGGAUUAGAUACCCGGGUAGUCCCUGUCUCUUAUACA
Molecule: ribosomal RNA, 301 nt
Filed under: uncultured bacterium
Lineage: Bacteria
Description: partial 16S ribosomal RNA
Rfam family: Bacterial small subunit ribosomal RNA
Source: RNAcentral